UAGGGAAUCUUCGGCAAUGGACGAAAGUCUGACCGAGCAACGCCGCGUGAGUGAAGAAGGUUUUCGGAUCGUAAAACUCUGUUGUUAGAGAAGAACAAGGACGUUAGUAACUGAACGUCCCCUGACGGUAUCUAACCAGAAAGCAACGGCUAACUACGUGCCAGCAGCCGCGGUAAUACGUAGGUGGCAAGCGUUGUCCGGAUUUAUUGGGCGUAAAGCGAGCGCAGGCGGUUUCUUAAGUCUGAUGUGAAAGCCCCCGGCUCAACCGGGGAGGGUCAUUGGAAACUGGGAGACUUGAGUGCAGAAGAGGGGAGUGGAAUUCCAUGUGUAGCGGUGAAAUGCGUAGAUAUAUGGAGGAACACCAGUGGCGAAGGCGGCUCUCUGGUCUGUAACUGACGCUGAGGCUCGAAAGCGUGGGGAGCAAACAGG
This 429-nucleotide ribosomal RNA is filed under the name Gemmatimonadota bacterium. RNAcentral describes it as "Gemmatimonadetes bacterium partial 16S ribosomal RNA". It matches the Rfam family "Bacterial small subunit ribosomal RNA", at positions 355 to 776 of the family's 1533-position model. The record is from RNAcentral. Lineage: Bacteria; Pseudomonadati; Gemmatimonadota.